Molecule: long non-coding RNA, 2491 nt
Filed under: Vigna radiata
Lineage: Eukaryota; Viridiplantae; Streptophyta; Magnoliopsida; Fabales; Fabaceae
Description: long non-coding RNA (VRAD_LNC005692)
Source: RNAcentral
GUUUUUUCGCAAAUUUUGACGCCGAAACUAACAUUAGGGUUUACAGCACAAGUAUAUAUACAUAUAAAGCUGUGACCACACGAUCCCAACCAUCUAUGUCUGAUGGCACUGGCACGUUUUGUUGAAUUUGUGAGGUGAGUUUUGUUUUUCUUCUUCUUCCCUGUUCUCUCUGAUCCAAAAAUGGUGAAGGCUCUAUAUUAAGAGUCAACAGCAGGAGCUUGUUCUAUAGUUACCUGACUGCCGCUUAGAGCCAAGAUGAAAACACCAGUUGAAGAUCCUUGAAACAUAUCUCCUUUGUUUCAAGACACAAUUUCUGGUCAAAUUUUGUUUUUUUGUUUUCGUCAAUUGUUGUUGAUGGCACUUCAGUCAGACACGGGUGUUUGUUGCUGAAUCUAAAAACAAACAACCUUUUGCAUGGUGCCUAUAUAUAAUCGGCUAUUGAUUCACGAUUGGGGGAACUUUUCAUCUCUGGUUCCUUCAAAUUUCAAGCAGCUACAUCUUCUUCAAUGAAUAAACUUUUAUAAACCUAAAACUGUACAUUUUGCUCAUCAAAAUGUAUUUGAGAGGCACAUUAGAAACUAGUAGAGAUUAUUCAGCAAGAUUUCAGAAACAAAAUGAAACCUGGAAAAAGAAAGUAAAAAAAAAAAUGAAAGUUUUAGAAUUAAAUUUGAAGUCUUUGAACCUCUCAUAGCAACUGCUACUAUCUCAAAUUCAUCAGUCACAACUGAAAACUGUAUGAGAUUAGCAUGUUUAGUAUCAGCAAAACACUUUAAAUUGUAUGACAUUACAAUGUUUCAGUAUCAGCAAAACACUUUAAACUGCACGACAUUACCAUGUCUCUAGUAUCAUCAGCCAAACACUUUGAAACAGAGUGAAAUCAAUUUCAGAAUCACUUAAGUCAGCAUCAAAAUCCAUUUCGUAGUACUACAUCAUCAAAACAUAGUUAGCAACUUUUCUGAUAUUCUUCAUACUACAUCAGUUUCAGGUUUAGUUUUAAAAUCAAAAUUCAAUUUAUCAGUAGUACUAUUAAUACUGACCUCACCAUCAGAAUUCACAGGUCUAAUUAUUAGAAUCAUGAAUAACAGCCAACUUCCUAAAACCAACCAUUAGCUUUUCAAAAUCAUCAGUAUAGAUAUAAUACACAUCCAACAAAAUCAAGUGAUGCAUCAGCAACUUUCUCGGUCAAACGUUGCAACCUCUUUUGUUGAAUUUUGAUUUAAACGUUACAACCUUCUUUGUGAACGUUGGAAGAUUACCAACGUAUGCCUCCUUUUUUGUUACUUUCUUGAGAGGGUUAGUUCCAUCACAGGGUCUAUAAAUAGACCUUCAUUUGCUCUUCGUUUCAUUUUGGAAGAUUACACAACAUUUUCUCUUUUUUGUCCUCUCCUCUUAGUUUCAUUAUUUUUUCUUUUUCUUUUCUAAUAAUAUUUUAGAUUUAUUUAAAAUUUCUUACUAGUUCUGGUAUUCUACAUUUCUGGAAAAUUCUGGUUGAAUAGUGGAAGGUCUAUUUAUCUUUUGAAAAAUCUUUGUUGCUAUUUUUUAUUAUCUUUUGUCAACUUUUUUAAGUCAAUUUUAAGAAUCAAUAACUUAUAUCGACCAAUGAGAAUAUUGUUUUUGAAACUCAUACGGUGUUUUCGAAACAUUUUUUAGAUGAAGUCUUAUCUAAUCAUAAUUUCUAGCAUCAUAUAAUUUGUAAUGGUUGAAUAAUGUCUAUUUUAGUGCUUUAGCACUAAUUCUUUGCCUUUCCUUGGGAAUGCAGGUCAGUUGCAAUAUCAUGAUCGUUUUCUUAUCGAAACAGAAAAGGUCUAAUUUGUAAAGCUAGGUUGAUGGAUGAAGCCAAGAGGGUUUAUGAGGAGCUAUCAACUUUUGGUAUAGCUCUGAUCUUGUAUGUCAUCGUACCCUGCUGAAAUGUGGAAAGAAUGAAUGAACUAUUUUGAAAGCAUAAGUGAGUCAACAAAAGGCGAAAGCUUCAUCAUGAGUAAAGCUGUGCAUUCUUACAAAUCUGCCGAAAAGCAAUGUAAAGCCAAAGCUAAGGAAUUUUAAUGAACAAUGGAAUCCCAUUCUUUAAGAAACUUGAGGUUGUAUUAGGAGAGUGAAAACUCCAUGAGAUACUUGUGUAUGUGAGAAGAAUUAUGACAGUGGAACAAACUAAUCAACUUGGCAAUGGUCAUGGUGGAUGUUGCAUGUAUGCUGUGGGUGACAUGAUGAUUGGGCUCGUGGCUCAGAAGCACAUUUGUGAGGGGGACGUGAUUCACGUUUUACUUUUUGGAAAUAGUCAUAAUAUGGAGAAUUAUGUUAUAAUAGAAUCUGUGUUGGUUCGAAUCUCUAUAAUUAGGAUGUUCAAAAUUCAUUCAACUGCACUAAACUAUCAAAUAAAUGUAUUAUAUUAUACCACAAAUUUGGAAUUGUUUAGAUUUAAAACUAAACUCUACCUUCAGUUUUAAAAAAUUGAACUCGACUUUUAGUUUUAAAAAAUUGAACUUCUAAAAUU